RNAcentral lists this transfer RNA (77 nucleotides) under Holosporales bacterium. Its description in RNAcentral is "tRNA-Arg". It matches the Rfam family "tRNA". From Rfam's summary of the family: Transfer RNA (tRNA) molecules are approximately 80 nucleotides in length. Their secondary structure includes four short double-helical elements and three loops (D, anti-codon, and T loops). The record is from RNAcentral. Lineage: Bacteria; Pseudomonadati; Pseudomonadota; Alphaproteobacteria; Holosporales.
GCGUCCUUAGCUCAGCUGGAUAGAGCGUCGGCCUUCUAAGCCGAAUGUCGCAGGUUCGAAUCCUGCAGGGCGCACCA